AGUGAACGCUGGCGGUAGGCCUAACACAUGCAAGUCGAACGGCAGCACAGUAAGAGCUUGCUCUUACGGGUGGCGAGUGGCGGACGGGUGAGGAAUACAUCGGAAUCUACUUUUUCGUGGGGGAUAACGUAGGGAAACUUACGCUAAUACCGCAUACGACCUACGGGUGAAAGCAGGGGAUCUUCGGACCUUGCGCGAUUGAAUGAGCCGAUGUCGGAUUAGCUAGUUGGCGGGGUAAAGGCCCACCAAGGCGACGAUCCGUAGCUGGUCUGAGAGGAUGUUCAGCCACACUGGAACUGAGACACGGUCCAGACCCCUACGGGAGGCAGCAGUGGGGAAUAUUGGACAAUGGGCGCAAGCCUGAUCCAGCCAUACCGCGUGGGUGAAGAAGGCCUUCGGGUUGUAAAGCCCUUUUGUUGGGAAAGAAAAGCAGCAGGUUAAUACCCCGCUGUUCUGACGGUACCCAAAGAAUAAGCACCGGCUAACUUCGUG
This 492-nucleotide ribosomal RNA is filed under the name uncultured bacterium. RNAcentral's name for it is "partial 16S ribosomal RNA". It matches the Rfam family "Bacterial small subunit ribosomal RNA", at positions 29 to 507 of the family's 1533-position model. The record is from RNAcentral.